Molecule: small RNA, 141 nt
Filed under: Deltaproteobacteria bacterium
Lineage: Bacteria; Pseudomonadati; Myxococcota; Myxococcia
Description: c-di-AMP sequence
Rfam family: c-di-AMP riboswitch aptamer (ydaO/yuaA leader)
About the family: This family represents a conserved RNA structure found upstream of the ydaO and yuaA genes in Bacillus subtilis and related genes in other bacteria. The ydaO/yuaA element is thought to act as a genetic "off" switch for the ydaO and yuaA genes in its native state. It is believed that the element may be triggered during osmotic shock leading to activation of ydaO, a predicted amino acid transporter gene, and members of the yuaA-yubG operon which code for KtrA and KtrB K+ transporters.
Source: RNAcentral
ACCGGCCGACCGCCGAGUUCUCCGGCGCCCGCCGGAGAAGCGGGGGACCCGAUUCUUUGGGGCGAAUCCGUUAAAACGGUAGGGCAAGAAACCUCCUGUCCGAGCCCGGCAGCUAACCCCGUAGGCAGGAGGAGGAGACAU